CACUAGUGUAAAUCGUCAUUGCUGCGGUUAAAAAGCUCGUAGUUGGAUCUGAGUCGCAUGCAAUGGUUCGUCAUUGACGUUAAUCAUUGUUGUGACUAUCGGCUGGUUUUCUAUUGAGAUCUCGAUCUCUUUAGUGACUAGCGAGUUUACUUUGAAUAAAUUAGAGUGCUCAGAACAAGCGUUUGCUUGAAUGUUUGAUCAUGGAAUAAUAGAAGAGGACUUCGGUUCUAUUUAUUGGUUCAGGAACUGAAAUAAUGGUUAAGAGGGACAAUUCGGGGGCAUUCGUAUCCCUGCGCGAGAGGUGAAAUUCGUGGACCGCAGGGGGACGCCCUAAAGCGAA
RNAcentral lists this ribosomal RNA (340 nucleotides) under Gurltia paralysans. Its description in RNAcentral is "SSU rRNA". It matches the Rfam family "Eukaryotic small subunit ribosomal RNA", at positions 592 to 949 of the family's 1831-position model. Lineage: Eukaryota; Metazoa; Nematoda; Chromadorea; Rhabditida; Metastrongylidae. The record is from RNAcentral.